UACGUAGGGUGCGAGCGUUAAUCGGAAUUACUGGGCGUAAAGCGCGUGUAGGCGGCCCGGUAAGUCCGCUGUGAAAGUCCAGGGCUCAACCCUGGAAUGCCGGUGGAUACUGUCGGGCUCGAGUCCGGAAGGGGCGAGUGGAAUUCCUGGUGUAGCGGUGAAAUGCGUAGAUAUCGAGAGGAACACCGGUGGCGAAGGCGGCCAACUGGACGAAUACUGACGCUGAGACUCGAAAGCGUGGGGAGCAAACAGG
Molecule: ribosomal RNA, 253 nt
Filed under: uncultured bacterium
Lineage: Bacteria
Description: partial 16S ribosomal RNA
Rfam family: Bacterial small subunit ribosomal RNA
Source: RNAcentral